Molecule: ribosomal RNA, 406 nt
Filed under: uncultured bacterium
Lineage: Bacteria
Description: partial 16S ribosomal RNA
Rfam family: Bacterial small subunit ribosomal RNA
Source: RNAcentral
AUUGAACGCUGGCGGCAGGCCUAACACAUGCAAGUCGAACGAGUGGCGGACGGGUGAGUCAUGUCUGGGAAACUGCCCGAUGGAGGGGGGUAACUCCUGGAAACGGUGGCUAAUACCGCAUACCAUCGGAUGUGCCCAGAUAGGAUUAGCUAGUAGGUGGGGUAAAGGCUCACCUAGGCGACGCUCCCUAGCUGGGCGGAGAGGAGGACCAGCCACACUGGAAAUGAGACACGGGCCAGACUCCUACGGUAGGCAGCAGGGGGGAAGAUUGCACAAUGGGCGGAAGGCUGAUGCAGCCAGGCCGCGUGUAUGAAGAAGGCCUUCGGGUUGGAAAGUACUUGCAGCGGGGAGGCGUUACCCGCAGAAGAAGCACCGGCUAACUCCGUGCCAGCAGCCGCGGUAAUUC